UGGAGUUGAGGGUGGAUGG
RNAcentral lists this unclassified non-coding RNA (19 nucleotides) under Mus musculus (house mouse). Its description in RNAcentral is "oocyte_clustered_small_RNA6826". The record is from RNAcentral. Lineage: Eukaryota; Metazoa; Chordata; Mammalia; Rodentia; Muridae.